Non-coding RNA from Mycena polygramma, 94 nucleotides. The record is from the annotation of a GenBank genome assembly. NCBI's taxonomy places the organism in Eukaryota, Fungi, Basidiomycota, Agaricomycetes, Agaricales, Mycenaceae.
GCAUCGGUGGGGUAUCGUAAACCCCCAACCCUCGUGUUCGAAACUACUGGACAUUUGAGUGGUUGAGAGCGGGGUUCGACUCCCUGUCGGUGCG